GACGAACGCUGGCGGCGUGCUUAACACAUGCAAGUCGAACGGUGAAAGCGGAGCUUGCUCCGCUGGAUCAGUGGCGAACGGGUGAGUAACACGUGGGCAACCUGCCCCUCACUUCGGGAUAACUUCGGGAAACCGGGGCUAAUACCGGAUAUGACCUCCUUGGGCAUCCUUGGAGGUGGAAAGUUUUUCGGUGAGGGAUGGGCCCGCGGCCUAUCAGCUUGUUGGUGAGGUAGUGGCUCACCAAGGCGACGACGGGUAGCCGGCCUGAGAGGGCGACCGGCCACACUGGGACUGAGACACGGCCCAGACUCCUACGGGAGGCAGCAGUGGGGAAUAUUGCGCAAUGGGCGAAAGCCUGACGCAGCAACGCCGCGUGCGGGAUGACGGCCUUCGGGUUGUAAACCGCUUUCAGCAGGGAAGAAGCCGCAAGGUGACGGUACCUGCAGAAGAAGCACCGGCUAACUACGUGCCAGCAGCCGCAGUAA
This 485-nucleotide ribosomal RNA is filed under the name uncultured bacterium. RNAcentral's name for it is "partial 16S ribosomal RNA". It matches the Rfam family "Bacterial small subunit ribosomal RNA", at positions 28 to 523 of the family's 1533-position model. The record is from RNAcentral.